AAAGGAAAAAAAAAAAAAGAAGAAGGGGGCACAGGAGGAAGGGAGAGUCGAGAAGAAGAGGGGGAAGGGAAGGGGACGGUGCCGGCGGGGCUGGGAGCCACCGUCGCCGUCGAAUCAGAGAGAGAGAGAGAGAGAGAGAGAGAGAGAGAGGGGGGGGGGGCUGCCUCGCAUCUUGUUGUCGCCGCUGCCGUUGCCCUCAUCCCGAAUCACCGUUGUCACCGUCGCGGGGAAAGAUCGGAGUUGAAGGAGAGAACCACGAGAGGAGGGGGAGUUGCUGCUACCGGAGACGCGAGCUGGAGGAGCUGUGUCCAACCACCGCCGUUGCACUAGUCACCGCCGCUGACGUAGAUGGAGGUCGUUGCCGUCACCGUGCACGUCGGAGGAGGAGGACCAGAACGUGAUGAGGGGGAGGAAGCCGUGCUGGGUUCGCAGUCACUGCUGUGCGUUCUGUCGUCUGCUGCCGGCACCGCCGCCACAGCCGCUGUUGUCGGUAACCGCCGGUGGAAUCCCUGUCUCCUCGGGUUGAGUUCCAAGGAAUUGCAUGUCAAAUUAAGGUUGUUGUUGAACCACCGGAGAUUCUAGCCGCUGUCGAAGCUGCCGCCGGGUCAGCUUGAGAUUGCGACUGCUCUGUUCUGCUAUUACCGAUUGAGUUAUCGAGAUUGCCUUUUAUAUUAAAGUCGUUUCUGCCAUUGCGGAAGUGAGCAGACGUGUGGUUGGAGCUGCAGUUGAUUUCGGGCUGACAGAAAGGGUUUUUAUGACACGUUUAGCUUAUGGAUUCGACUUUUCGACGUAGGGGUGUUUUUUUAAAAAGCUUAUUUUAUAUUUUGGAGUUGUUAUAAAUGGAUAUAGAUGUGAUAAAUAUAAUUUCUGGUGAUUAUGUAGGUCUUAUGUAUUGUCUGGAUGUUUUGAAUGAAUAUGACUAUUGUUUGAUUGGAUUAUUAUUUGGUUUUGUUAAAUUAAUUCUUUAAAGUUUUGGAAAUGAGUUUGGUUCGUUAAAAAUGAUUUGAUUUUGUAUCAAUUUUCAUUCCUUGGCGCUAGAUCUUGUUAGUAAGCCUAGUAAUAGGAUAAAGUUAGGAAAUUGUAGUAACUUGGAGAUGAAGAAAGAUUUUUAAAAGGUAAUAUGUAGUUAGAGAAGAUAGUGUCUGAUUGAUAAAGAUGAUGAAAGUGGUAUAUGAGGCAAUUAAGAGAGUAAAGUAAUAUUGAGAAUGAUGUGUGAGACAAUUGAUGAUGUUAAUUAAUUGAGAAUGAUGAGAUGAGCUAUGAACUAUUGUUGAGAAUGAAAAUGAUAUUUAUGAGAUAUGAUUGAAUUAUUAUUGAGACAUUCAUUGACCCCCUGUACGUAAGAUGUGACUGGGCAGGGGCGGAGCUAGAAAUUAUUUUAGAAGGGGCUAACAUGAAAAAUAUAAGUUAAGAAGAAAGAAAAAUUAAAAAUUAAAAAGGGAUUAAACUAAAAAAUUAAAAACUUAUACAUACAUUUUAUUAGUUUGGGGGGGGGGGGGCAUUGCCCCCCUUGCUCAUAACGUGGCUCCGCCACUGUGACUGGGCACUUUAACUUCUCAGGUUCCCCCAUGGGCAUGCAUAUAUGGAUAUGAUUGAGUUUGGAGUGUUGUCUCCCUCAUGUCAGUUUGAGAUUCUUCACAUGGAGUAUUAUUGAGUUUGGGGUAUUGUCUCCCCCAUGUCAGCUUGGGAUUCUUCCCAUGGAUAUGAUUAAGUUUGGGGUAUUGUCUCUCCAAUGUCAGCUUGGGUUCCGUCCCAUGGUUUAUUUUUUAGCUUGGGGAUGAGCGUAUAAAGGGACUGUCCAAUGGUUAGCUAACAAGACAUGUCAAAUUGGCUGUAUAACCGACAGAUGAGCUCAUUAGUCAUAGGACAGGCAUACAUCAUGUGCAUAUUGUUUGAAUUGCUUGCUUGUAUAUUAAUUGGGAUUGCCUAAAUGAUUUAAUACGUUAAUUGUUGUACUUGUUAUCUGCAUUACUUAUAUUCUAUCUGUGUUUGCCAUUGUAUGCUUGUUUGUAUAUGUAAAUCCACCGGAGUUGGAGGAAUGGAAAAAAGCCAGAGAAGUUAAGGAUUUAAUUAUGCUUAAGAUUUGGUAAAGUUAGGAAUCCCUAGAAAACCACCUUGACUUAUAGUUUCCACUUACUUCUUUAAGUUUUAUAAUUUGAGCGUCGGUGUUUUAGCAUUGCCUCUGGCAUAACCAGAACCUUAUAUCUUAUGUGUGUGGUAUCUUUACCAUGUUGAGAACCUCCGGUUCUCAUUCCAAAUAAUAUUGUUAUU
Long non-coding RNA from Arachis stenosperma, 2271 nucleotides. RefSeq lists it as uncharacterized. The record is from RefSeq and is a predicted model, not a curated record. The transcript is spliced from 3 exons. NCBI's taxonomy places the organism in Eukaryota, Viridiplantae, Streptophyta, Magnoliopsida, Fabales, Fabaceae.